AUUGAACGCUGGCGGCAUGCCUUACGCAUGCAAGUCGAACGGCAGCAUGGAGAGCUUGCUCUCUGAUGGCGAGUGGCGAACGGGUGAGUAAUGCAUCGGAACGUACCGUGUAAUGGGGGAUAACGUAGCGAAUGUUACGCUAAUACCGCAUACGACCUGAGGGUGAAAGCAGGGGAUCGCAAGACCUUGCGUUAUACGAGCGGCCGAUGUCAGAUUAGCUAGUUGGUGAGGUAAAGGCUCACCAAGGCGACGAUCUGUAGCGGGUCUGAGAGGAUGAUCCGCCACACUGGGACUGAGACACGGCCCAGACUCCUACGGGAGGCAGCAGUGGGGAAUUUUGGACAAUGUGGGCAACCCUGAUCCAGCCAUGCCGCGUGAGUGAAGAAGGCCUUCGGGUUGUAAAGCUCUUUCGGCCGGGAAGAAAUCGCACAGGCUAAUACUCUGUGUGGAUGAUGGUACCGGCAUAAGAAGCACCGGCUAACUACGUGCCAGCCGCCGCAGUAA
Molecule: ribosomal RNA, 504 nt
Filed under: uncultured bacterium
Lineage: Bacteria
Description: partial 16S ribosomal RNA
Rfam family: Bacterial small subunit ribosomal RNA
Source: RNAcentral